This 252-nucleotide ribosomal RNA is filed under the name uncultured bacterium. RNAcentral describes it as "partial 16S ribosomal RNA". It matches the Rfam family "Bacterial small subunit ribosomal RNA", at positions 524 to 776 of the family's 1533-position model. The record is from RNAcentral.
UACGGGGGGAGCAAGCGUUGUUCGGAUUUACUGGGCGUAAAGGGCGCGUAGGCGGCGCAACAAGUCACUUGUGAAAUCUCCGGGCUUAACCCGGAGCGGCCAAGUGAUACUGUCGUGCUAGAGUGCGGAAGGGGCUACUGGAAUUCUCGGUGUAGCGGUGAAAUGCGUAGAUAUCGAGAGGAACACCUGCGGCGAAGGCGGGUAGCUGGGCCGACACUGACGCUGAGGCGCGAAAGCCAGGGAGCGAACGGG